GGGGGUGUAGCUCAACUGGGAGAGCGCNGCCCUUGCAAGGCNGAGGUUAGCGGUUCGAUCCCGCUCAUCUCCA
This 73-nucleotide transfer RNA is filed under the name Fidelibacterota bacterium. Its description in RNAcentral is "tRNA-Ala". It matches the Rfam family "tRNA". Rfam says of the family: Transfer RNA (tRNA) molecules are approximately 80 nucleotides in length. Their secondary structure includes four short double-helical elements and three loops (D, anti-codon, and T loops). The record is from RNAcentral. Lineage: Bacteria; Pseudomonadati; Fidelibacterota.